RNAcentral lists this ribosomal RNA (254 nucleotides) under uncultured bacterium. RNAcentral's name for it is "partial 16S ribosomal RNA". It matches the Rfam family "Bacterial small subunit ribosomal RNA", at positions 524 to 777 of the family's 1533-position model. The record is from RNAcentral.
UACGGAGGGUGCGAGCGUUGUCCGGAAUCACUGGGCGUAAAGGGCGCGUAGGCGGCGCGGGAAGUCCGUGGUGAAAGCCCGAGGCUCAACUUCGGGUCGGCCAUGGAUACUCCUGGGCUUGAGCACUGUAGAGGCAGGUGGAAUUCCGGGUGUAGCGGUGGAAUGCGUAGAGAUCCGGAAGAACACCGGUGGCGAAGGCGGUCUGCUGGGCAGUUGCUGACGCUGAUGCGCGACAGCGUGGGGAGCAAACAGGG